This 45-nucleotide non-coding RNA is filed under the name Schistosoma mansoni. The record is from RNAcentral. Lineage: Eukaryota; Metazoa; Platyhelminthes; Trematoda; Strigeidida; Schistosomatidae.
AUUCGGCUGAUGAGUUCGAAAUAGGACGAAACGUACGUCCAGGAU